This 73-nucleotide transfer RNA is filed under the name Telmatocola sphagniphila. It matches the Rfam family "tRNA". Rfam says of the family: Transfer RNA (tRNA) molecules are approximately 80 nucleotides in length. RNAcentral also lists the same sequence under 1 other name. The record is from Rfam by way of RNAcentral. Lineage: Bacteria; Pseudomonadati; Planctomycetota; Planctomycetia; Gemmatales; Gemmataceae.
GGCGACGUAGCUCAGGGGUUAGAGCAGACGCUUCAUAAGCGUCGGGUCACUGGUUCAAAUCCAGUCGUCGCUA